RNAcentral lists this ribosomal RNA (631 nucleotides) under Enterobacter sp. Its description in RNAcentral is "bacterial SSU rRNA". It matches the Rfam family "Bacterial small subunit ribosomal RNA", at positions 832 to 1463 of the family's 1533-position model. Lineage: Bacteria; Pseudomonadati; Pseudomonadota; Gammaproteobacteria; Enterobacterales; Enterobacteriaceae. The record is from RNAcentral.
UUGAGGCGUGGCUUCCGGAGCUAACGCGUUAAGUCGACCGCCUGGGGAGUACGGCCGCAAGGUUAAAACUCAAAUGAAUUGACGGGGGCCCGCACAAGCGGUGGAGCAUGUGGUUUAAUUCGAUGCAACGCGAAGAACCUUACCUACUCUUGACAUCCAGAGAACUUAGCAGAGAUGGUUUGGUGCCUUCGGGAACUUUGAGACAGGUGCUGCAUGGCUGUCGUCAGCUCGUGUUGUGAAAUGUUGGGUUAAGUCCCGCAACGAGCGCAACCCUUAUCCUUUGUUGCCAGCGGUUAGGCCGGGAACUCAAAGGAGACUGCCAGUGAUAAACUGGAGGAAGGUGGGGAUGACGUCAAGUCAUCAUGGCCCUUACGAGUAGGGCUACACACGUGCUACAAUGGCGCAUACAAAGAGAAGCGACCUCGCGAGAGCAAGCGGACCUCAUAAAGUGCGUCGUAGUCCGGAUUGGAGUCUGCAACUCGACUCCAUGAAGUCGGAAUCGCUAGUAAUCGUAGAUCAGAAUGCUACGGUGAAUACGUUCCCGGGCCUUGUACACACCGCCCGUCACACCAUGGGAGUGGGUUGCAAAAGAAGUAGGUAGCUUAACCUUCGGGAGGGCGCUUACCACUUU